AUGGCGUCGCCCUUUCCGCCUGGCUCUUCUUCCUCUUCCGCUUCGUCGCCCCUCUCUUACUUGAUCCCUAGGCAGCCGCCGCCUUCCUCCGUCGUGGCGCAGGGCUUCUCGUGCGGCGCUCUGGCGCAGCAGGCCGGAGGAUUAUACGACGGCGACGGCGUCGGCGCGGCGGGCGGCGUCGGGGCGCUGGAGGUGAGGCAGGGGGGCNNNNNNNNNNNNNNNNNNNNNNNNNNNNNNNNNNCGCCGCGGCAGUGCACGCGGUGCAGGUCGGCCGACACCAAGUUCUGCUACUACAACAACUACAGCCGCAAGCAGCCGCGCUACUUCUGCCGCGCGUGCCGCCGGCACUGGACCGAGGGCGGCACGCUCCGCGACGUGCCCGUCGGCGGCGGCCGCAAGAACAGGCGCAACGGCGGGGGCAAGGGCGGCGCCAAGGCCCCCUCCACUGUCACCACGGAGGUGUCUACUGUGGCGGCGACGGCGUCUACACGGGGCAGCGGUGCGGUCGACGCGUUCAUCCCGGCCGACAUCCUGAGGUAGAUGCUGUCCCAGUCGGGGAGCUUCACGGCCGUUGGCGGGGGCGGUGGCUACGGCAUCGACCUGAGCGCGUGGCAGCAAAUGACCGGUGCCGCAGCAGCACCGCAGGGCGCCAGCGAUGUUGGCGCGGCCGGAGGGACGGCUCCGGGGGCCGAUGCCAACUGCGGCACAGGUGCGCAGUACUGGAGCUGAUGGCACCUGCAGGAUGACAUGCCCGGUUUCGACGGGACUUUCUAA
Molecule: ribosomal RNA, 774 nt
Filed under: Triticum aestivum (bread wheat)
Lineage: Eukaryota; Viridiplantae; Streptophyta; Magnoliopsida; Poales; Poaceae
Description: partial small subunit ribosomal RNA
Source: RNAcentral